GUAGGGAAUUUUCCACAAUGGGGGCAACCCUGAUGGAGCAACGCCGCGUGCAGGAUGAAGGCCUUCGGGUCGUAAACUGCUUUUAUGUGCGAAGAUUAUGACGGUAACACAUGAAUAAGGGUCUGCUAACUACGUGCCAGCAGCCGCGGUCAUACGUAGGACCCAAGCGUUAUCCGGAAUUACUGGGCGUAAAGAGUUGCGUAGGUGGCAAAGUAAGCAAGGUGUGAAAGCAUCCCGCUCAACGGGAUAAACAUGCUUUGAACUGCUUAGCUAGAGGACAAGAGAGGUCACUGGAAUUCCUAGUGUAGGAGUGAAAUCCGUAGAUAUUAGGAGGAACACCAAUGGCGUAGGCAGGUGACUGGCUUGUUCCUGACACUAAGGCACGAAAGCGUGGGGAGCGAACGGGAUUAGAUACCCUGGUAGUCC
This 426-nucleotide ribosomal RNA is filed under the name uncultured bacterium. RNAcentral's name for it is "bacterial SSU rRNA". It matches the Rfam family "Bacterial small subunit ribosomal RNA", at positions 354 to 796 of the family's 1533-position model. The record is from RNAcentral.